This 260-nucleotide ribosomal RNA is filed under the name uncultured prokaryote. RNAcentral describes it as "partial 16S ribosomal RNA". It matches the Rfam family "Bacterial small subunit ribosomal RNA", at positions 524 to 782 of the family's 1533-position model. The record is from RNAcentral.
UACGUAGGGUGCGAGCGUUGUCCGGAAUUACUGGGCGUAAAGAGCUCGUAGGUGGUUUGUCGCGUCGUCUGUGAAAUUCCGGGGCUUAACUUCGGGCGUGCAGGCGAUACGGGCAAUACUUGAGUGCUGUAGGGGAGACUGGAAUUCCUGGUGUAGCGGUGGAAUGCGCAGAUAUCAGGAGGAACACCGAUGGCGAAGGCAGGUCUCUGGGCAGUAACUGACGCUGAGAAGCGAAAGCAUGGGUAGCGAACAGGAUUAGA